This 252-nucleotide ribosomal RNA is filed under the name uncultured bacterium. RNAcentral's name for it is "partial 16S ribosomal RNA". It matches the Rfam family "Bacterial small subunit ribosomal RNA", at positions 524 to 776 of the family's 1533-position model. The record is from RNAcentral.
UACGGAGGAUCCGAGCGUUAUCCGGAUUUAUUGGGUUUAAAGGGUGCGUAGGCGGGAUGCCAAGUCAGCGGUAAAAAUGCGGUGCUCAACGCCGUCGAGCCGUUGAAACUGGCGUUCUUGAGUGGGCGAGAAGUAUGCGGAAUGCGUGGUGUAGCGGUGAAAUGCAUAGAUAUCACGCAGAACUCCGAUUGCGAAGGCAGCAUACCGGCGCCCUACUGACGCUGAGGCACGAAAGCGUGGGUAUCGAACAGG